Molecule: unclassified non-coding RNA, 269 nt
Filed under: uncultured fungus
Lineage: Eukaryota; Fungi
Description: partial contains 5.8S ribosomal RNA, internal transcribed spacer 2, and large subunit ribosomal RNA
Rfam family: 5.8S ribosomal RNA (bases 1-52)
Source: RNAcentral
AACGCACAUUGCGCCCGCCAGUAUUCUGGCGGGCAUGCCUGUCUGAGCGUCAUUUCAACCUUCCGCAGCGCGUUCUCGUGCAGCGGGCGUUGGGGAUCGAGGACCGCCGUAGCGCGGCCCCCGCCCCCUAAACCUAGUGGCAGUCCCGCAGCGGCCUCCCUUGCGUAGUAACUACUCUCGCAGGCGGAAAAGCAGCGUGGGUUCGCCGUAAAACCCCCAACUUUCUCAUGGUUGACCUCAGAUCAGGUAGGAAUACCCGCUGAACUUAA